This is a long non-coding RNA of Oncorhynchus keta (chum salmon), 1309 nucleotides long. RefSeq lists it as uncharacterized. The record is from RefSeq and is a predicted model, not a curated record. The transcript is spliced from 3 exons. NCBI's taxonomy places the organism in Eukaryota, Metazoa, Chordata, Actinopteri, Salmoniformes, Salmonidae.
GUAACUUUCUUACUCAUCAUUAUUCACAAUUUAUUCAGGAUUAUCCAUAAUCAUGGUAGCAUCCACAUUAAUUCAGAAGUGUUUAGAAACACAUUCUAUUGUUAUUUACAAUAUAAGUGACUCCAAAAUUGCACAAUGGUGUUUACCAUUCAAUGGCCAUAAUAAAUAGGUAUGUUGCCAGAGGGCAACCUUGUUUUAUGCCUCUUGACAAUUCAAAGUUCUCAGAGGAGUAACUGUUAUUUAUUAAUUCACAUAAAGGAUUGUUGUUCAUGACUUUUACCCAUUUUAUGAGAGAGUUCAAAAAUCCAGGGACUGUAUAAAAUGCUUUCUCAAAAUCUGCCAUGAAAAUUAUACCUGGUUUCCCUCAUUCUCAUAGUUUCCCUUUAUUUAUAGUAGUUGUCUUAUGUUGUCUCCAAUAUAUCUUCCUUUUAACAAUCCCGUCUGAUCGUGAUGAACAAUGUCCGGUAGGACCUUUUUAUUUUAUUUUAUCAGAAAUACAUUUUGCCAAUAUUUUUGCAUCACAACAUUGAAGGGUGACCAUGUAUUUGAUAUAUUUCAUACCAUUCUACCAAUUCCGCUCCAGCCAUUACCACGAGCCUGUCCUCCCCAAUUAAGGUGCCAAGCUUCAUGUGGCUUCUGUUUAUUUUAUGCAUAAACUAUAUGUGAUAUAGUGUACAUCAUUGGAUGGUUUGGUUUUCUUUUUUAACAUCUGUAGCAAUUGAAACAACAGAUAUUGUUUAUACUUUCUUUUAAAGUUUGUGAUGGCAGGGUUGUUCGCCUUGGCCUGUGAGAAGUCUCCCAGCAGACAGCUACUGACGGGCUGUGCCUACACUAACGUGGCCAGCCUGGUGGCGGGCCUACUGGCUCUGUGUUUGUACAGCGUCUCCCUACACUCCGUCUAGGGCUCUGCUGCACCCUGCACUCUGCCAAGCAUCGACCUGUACACAUGGGCUGCACAAAAGUGCCCAGGAGAAUACCUAGAGGAGUCUCACAGUCCUACUCAUCGUUUAUGACUUGGGUGCUCUUACCCUCCACUCUCUCCUCUCUUUCUCCGCACUCAAGGGACUCGGAGUGAGACUGUGCUGAAUUAUCAAUUAAUCAAUUAGUCCAACUGAUUAACCAAUGGAUGCUAGUGGAAAAACCUGUUUUAGAAAAAUACUGAUCUGUUAAACAAAAUUUUCUCAGUGACCACAUUACCGUUAACUUGUUUAAGUUCAAGUUUGUUUAUUUCAUGGGUUUGUUUGUUCCUUUCGAGCUUUACAGGCUUACAAUGUUUUGAGAAACCUAAUAAAAUAAUUUGUAUAAACUC